Non-coding RNA from Poecilia reticulata (guppy), 1731 nucleotides. The record is from RefSeq and is a predicted model, not a curated record. Lineage: Eukaryota; Metazoa; Chordata; Actinopteri; Cyprinodontiformes; Poeciliidae.
CAUGGCUUUGAUGAUCUUGGUUCAAUUUCUGUAUGUCAUUGUUCUAUUUAGAAAGAACAGCAACAGAAGUAGUAGAGAAUCUGCUUUUUACUGUAAAAAUGUGCUUCCGAUGGUUUUGAAGCUGACUUUUUGUGGGUGCAAUUGAUUUCACCCCAAAAUAUAAUAGUUUUGAGUUUUUCAUUGUAGUCUGGUGUGUUUCUUUGACUUUUUGCUUGUCUAAUGUAGUUAGUUUGAAUGAGUUUUUAAGAGUGUAUGCUAGUUUUUAUUAAUUAUCAGUUAAAUAUUGCUUAGUUUGAGCUUUUUCAUAAUUUUUAGGUGCCGAAUUCAAAACGGUCAACGUAUCAUAUCGUAACUAUGUAAACAUCAAUUGUUUACAUCGAUGCAGAAGGUUCCAGUUUCAAAAAAUGUUGAACAAAAACUGGCUUUAUUUUCUCUCAACUUUUGCUGUCGCCAUGUUGCAGACUCACGUAAGAGCCAUGAGGAGCAAAUUACGUCAGCUGUCAGCGUAAUUUGCAGACAGUUGACAUAAGCUGCUUGGGUGGUAAAAAUUAUUUAAUAAACGUGAAAAUGAAGGAUAUUUAUUUCCAUAAUUUAAGAAUGUUUUAGUCAUGGUUACAAACGCACACUACAGUUCCAGAUAGUUAUAGUUUUUCUCCAUUAAUUACCGUUUUUAUUUAUUUCAGUUAACAAAAAUGUGUUUUCAGUUUCUGUUGUUGUCGUUAGCUUUAGUCCAGAAAAUCUUUAUGAUUUUAUGAUUAUUUGCGUCUCUAUAUGAGGUCUGCAGAGGAGCUUGCAUAAAGAUUUAUUUUUCAUAGACUGGGGGAGUGCUUCUAGUGACCAGUAAUGUUAAACUGUUAGCAAUUAAAAUGGAAUAACGCACAAUAUUUCUUUCCAGGCGAGCGUGAAAUUUGUAAAUCAAGCUUCAAGGCUGUGUGGAGCCAACCGACUCCCACACUCCUCUGCACAGAUCGCUCCUGGCAACGCCACCAGAAUAACGAACAGCCGAUAAGAAGGGCAAACCUUCCAGAGGAGAGGAAGACUGAAGCAUUCCAGAAGAUGCAUCCCUGACUGAACAGAGUCGCUCAGUCUUGUCUUUCUCCCACUGACAAGGAUUCCUCCGGUAGAGUUUCAACUGGACCAGACUUAAUGGAGGAGCGUUGUCGCAAUAACGUGCUGAAGGAGGAGAUUCACAAAGAGCAGGAGCUUCUUAAAGAGACAGAAGUCCAAUCUCAAGAGACAAACGCUCAGGCUCUCAACAAUGCACACGGCUCACAGCAGCUGAGGAAGCAUCACUCAGACACCACAAGCUGUUUGUUUCCUUCCGGUCUGGAUGCUUGCAGCCAACUAUAAAAUAUGACCAAAGCACCAUCAAGAUGAGAAGCAACAGAUAAAAAGAAGGACUUCACAAUAAUUCAUAGAUAUACAACUCAUUAGACUUGAAAGACUGCAAUAAGUGUAUGUUGAUUGUCUGUUUUAUUAGAUCUGUGUCUGUGAUAUGCAUCAGGCACUUAGGGAAAUCCAUCCCCCCCCCCUUGCUUCUGUGAUGGUUACAUUGAGUUUAAUGAUGGCAACAAGGUGCAAACUUUGAUUUUAUCCUAUAAUAUACGUCUCCUGUUGCGUAACAUAGUUUUACAGCAACCCUACAGGGAUUACAGUUGAUCCACACUGAUUCCAUCAGACUUAAAGGGGCAGUAUUGUGUAUUUUUCAGGCACAUAGUGUAAUUUUAUAGC